RNAcentral lists this long non-coding RNA (4991 nucleotides) under Gallus gallus (chicken). Lineage: Eukaryota; Metazoa; Chordata; Aves; Galliformes; Phasianidae. The record is from RNAcentral.
GUUUACCUUCUCAAUUUUUUCUUUUUUAAUUAUUCUUGCUUUAGGGUGUGUAGAACUCUGAUAAUUCAGUAUUUCUGAUGACUUUUCACCGGUUUUGAUACUUCCCAAUGUAAACAGGUUGCCUGAUGUGCCUUGAGCUUUCCUACAAAGAAAGUUUGUAGGAUUCUUGAAGAUUAGUCUCUCAUAGUUCUUUAUACCUGUGUCUGAGCUAGUCACAUGGGCGUCUAUAUAACCCACUGAAAGAAGUAGACCUAGGUCAAGAUGUAUCUGACCUACUUUAGGCACCUAAUUUAAGAUGAAAGGAAUCUCACCCUAAAUGUAUUAGAAUCAUGGAAGCCCAAGGUGGCUUACAUUGGUGUGAACUACAGCAUCUAAUCAGAAUAAUACUCUGGUUUCUGACAAGCAGGUUAGCCCCUAAUGUAUUUUAGUAAUUUGUGUAACUCCCUAUGAGGGCCUGGCCUAUGGCAUAAAUAAUGAGAACAGAUUAGAAUAUAAUGGUCCUAUUUCUUAGAUUUUCAUAUUUGUUAGCAAACGAUAAAGGCAAAAGCUAAGUAGAGUGUUUGCAUAUACUUAAUUGUACAAAGUGGAUUUAUUUUUUGUAUACUUCUGAAGGAGCAGAUAUUGAGAAUCAAUUCUCUACUUAAUUUUGCAAAACUCAUGGAUUCUUCAAGUUGUUCUAAGACUUUAAGGCAGAACUUUAUUGUUGGCAGAGCAGUAGUUUCUCAGAUGAGGUGCUCUUUUCAGCUACUUAAAGCUGUUAGAUGUCAGACAGGGCACUGGGGCUUCUUAGAUUCUGCUAAGGAACAGGAAGAUAGGUAGUGUAAAACUCUUUUGUUGACGGCUUCAGAAGAAUACUGUUUCCUGCUAUUUGACCAACUAGUUAAUAUUCAGGUAAUAUUGUUGAACUACAGCAGGUAAAGAAUUUUCAAGGGUGAUCAGUGCUACACAGACCUUGAAAAGAAGUGUAAAAUUGUUUAGAAUGCUUCUAGAACAACUUUAAAGGCAAGGAUCAACUUGGAGUUUUAGUGAUUUGAUGUUCUCGGUCUGUCUCUAUCUAAGAAGGCUAACAAUGCCUAUAAAGUCUUUCUGAAUGACAGUGUUAUUUGUAGCAUAGUCCUCGGAAAUGCUUCACAGUUCUCUACAAGCCUUGUAAGCAGUAUUUCAGGAAAAAUACUCAGAGCUUAAAAAAAAAAAAUCAGUAAGUAGAUCCUCCAGAAAAUAUGCAGGAGGUCAAUGUCAGUGAUAAUUGUGAGAGUUGAUGAGUCUAUGCAUACUAAACAUCUAUUCCAGCAUACUAACAUCUAUUCCAGCACUCACCUCAAACUGAAUUCUUCCCCCAGAAUGACUGGCCCUUAACCAAAGGAAUAUUAGCUGUGCUAGGACAGAGGCAGUGGAGGCUGAAGAAAUGCUUUCUGCUGGAGAAAGAGGAAGCACAUUGAUUUGCCAGCAGACAGCAUCUGUUCAGAGCUGCACAGAUGCACAAAUUGUUGGAAGAGGUGAGAUGGAUCAGCUGAGGUAGUACUGAUGGGAGUCUGAAGUCUUCAUGUGAACCAGUGCACUAUGUGGUCCAGGGUGGGGCAGACAGUUGCUUUCUGUGGUACAUGCAUCCAAAAUGAAUGUUAUUGUUGUGAAAUAUAAAAGGAACAAAGCCUCAUGGAAUUUGUAAAGAGGCUUGUGUUACCAUAGAAUCACUAAGGUUGGAAAAGACCCACAGGAUCAUCCAGUCCAACCAUUCACCCAUCACCAAUGGUUCUCACUAAACCAUGUCCCUUAGCACAACAUUCAAACACUCUUUGAACACCACCAGGGUCGGUGACUCCAACACCUCUCUGGGCAGCCCAUUCCAGUGCCUGACCACCCUUUCAGAGAAGUAGUAUUUCCUAACGUCCAGCCUGAAUCUUCCCUGGUGCAGCUUGAAGCCAUUCCCUCUAGUUCUAUCACUAGUCACUGAGAGAAGAGGCUGACCCCCAGCUCACUACAACCUCCCUUCAGGUAGUUAUAGAGAGCAAUAAGGUCUCCCCUGAGCCUCCUCUUCUCUAGACUGAACAAUCCCAGCUUCUUCAGCUGCUCCUCAUGUUAUGUAUUAUGUUUUUCUCAUUUCAUCUGAUGUAAGAAGUCUUGCUUAUGGGCUUUUCUGCCAAGGCAGAAAAUAAAAUGCAUAGCUUUAGUGUGUUAACAGUUUUGUAUAUACUGAUUUUUCUACUCUUGUGGCAGAGUCGCAUUUUCUGAAAAUAAUGAUAAUAUUCAUCUGGUUUGUAUCUGCUGAUAUAAUGACUGUGUUGGAGUGCAUCAACUUAACAGUUUAUGAUUGGGCAGAACCAAUUUUAUUACCAAGUCACACUCUGCUGUUUGACUUGGUGUGCAUGGAUCUCACAGUGCAAUUGUGCUUUUUCAGGGCAGAGCUAAUGGAUGUUGUCCAGACUCCAUGUUCCCAUUGAGAAACAGCUUCCAGUGCCUUUUGAUAUAGAAUUUCUGUUCUUUAUCCUUGCAGUUGCUGCUUUGAUUAUAGAACUGAGGAAUUAUUUUAGGGCUUCACGGCCUGUGUAGUAUUAUGUUUCUGCUCAAUUUGUAGAACUUGUGUAGGAUCUACUUAUAAAUCAACAAUGCUUUGUUGUCUGAUACUGCCAUUCCCAAUUCAUAUCAUUCAAUUUUCUUUUUACUAUUAUUUCUUUAGAAGUUUACCUGAUGUCUUUCAUAAGCAAGUCAUGAAUUAAUUUGGCUGUAUCUUCUGUCAUAGCAUGAAAGCUUUAUGUGUUGCUGGAGAGUGAUUAUCCUGUUUCAUUUUGACUCUUCAUGUUCUUGACUUGUGGGGUUCUGCAUUGCUAUCAUUUUCUUUUACCAUGGGAGUAGUAUCUGUUAUAAGUAUUGAAGUUGUUGGAGUUUCACAGGGUAAUAAUGUUGAUGCUAUCAAUCUCUUCUCUUCUCAACAUCAUCCACUGUUGCAGUGUAAGAAUAAUGAUUUGGCUAUAGAAAACUACCUUUGGGGUUUGUCUCGAUUCCUUUUCUAGAUCUAGAAUACUGUAUUUGGAACAUGCUGGCUUUCAAAGCACUUAAUCUUUGGAAGAAAGGGGCAUUUGGUAGUUCAGCUUGUGGGUUGGGUUCUAGAACUGGGUAUAAGAGUAAUCCUACUCAUCUUAAAUUCAGCUUAUGAUUACUGGCUUGUGCAGUGCUGAAACAUUUCACUGCAAAGGUGAAAAACCUUCCUUGUUUUCUGUAGCUCAAGCCUUAUUAGUAACACCUUACCUUGCAGUAAGCUAAAAGGGGCUUCCCUCCCACCUAAUAAUAAUUUCAGCUUCUUCCCAUAUUGAAAUUAGAAUAAAUCCUUCUAAUUAAUGUAAAAUUAAUUAACAGAAAAUCAGAUGGUUUCUAUCUGAAAAAGGAACUUGAAUACUCUCAAAUUUGAACCAAACAUUCACCUAGGUACUACAGCAUUUCUUCAUUUGCAACUUGUAGCAUUUUUCAAAUUUAAAAUCUUUUCCCACAUUGUGUGGAGGCUUGUGUGUAGUAAGCAUUAGUUCAGAAUUGUGUAUACAUUCCAGGCACUGGAAUGGCCUGCCCAGGGAGAUGGUGGAGUCACCGUACCUGGCAGAGUUCAAGAGGCGUCUGAAUGAGGAGCUACAAGAUACAGUUUAGUGGCUUGUGGUAGCAAGGGUAAUGGGAGGACGGUUGGACUAGAUGAUCUUGUAGGUCCUUUCCAACCUUGGGAUUCUAUGAUUCUAUAAUAUGCGGAAACACAAGAUGUCUAUUCAGACUGAUUAAAGCUAUAGUUGCCUAGAGCUUUUUUUUGAAGACAUCCUGAUUCUGAUCAUGUCAGCUGUUUUCUUUGAUCCUUUAACAGUUUUCCCCAAAUUACAGGUUCGGUUUCUUUAGUGAACAGAUUUUCCUCAGUUCUUGGAUUUCUGGAGAAAUACUGACCCUUGUCAGGCAAUAUUUGGGUCAAUAGAAGGAGCAAGGUGAAAACUAAAUGCAGCUAGAGAAGAGAAAGGAGGCUAAUUCACUCAAGUUGUGUUCCUUUUGGAGGAAAAAAAAAGUAAUAAAGGUAUUAAUCUCUUACUGGAAGAGAUGAGGAGAAGGAACAAUGAUUAAGUGUAAGAUGUUUUGACUCUCACAGUGUAUAAAUUAUGAGUUUAAGGAGAAAAUAUUUAGAAAACCUACUUAGAAUGAACUCUUUUCAGAUACUUUACAGUGAAGCAACAUGGAUGAUUCUAGUUCAGCUUGAAGAUACAUUUCAAAACCUUUAAAGUUCUCAUUUUGUGCUUGAACAAAAACACCCACAGAGCACAAUCAAUUAAUGUUGAAAAGAUCUAUAUUAGUCUUCAUGGAAUUAGAAGUAGUAAAAUGUACAUCAGCUGAGCACAGUAUGAGUGCUUUGUUUAUAAAGCUUAUUUAGAUAAUCAGUAGUAAGAAAAAUCAAAAUGUAAUAUAUAACCAAAGUUUGUUUUAUUUUGAUUAUAGGAUGAAACUACUAGAUGUUCCACUUCAUGUUGCUGGACCAAAACAUGAAAAAAGUAUUUGUAACUUAAGAAAUGAUUGGAUAAACUUGAAUGGAUUAAAUGAAACUCGACAAUUCAUAGGAAUAAUUAUUUCCUUGAGAUGGAUUUUAAGUUUGAUAUUACAGGACCCAUUUAUGAAAACUUCCUAGCGAAAAUAUUCCUUCCAUGUGAAAAUAUAUAUUGCUCAUUGUAGUCUAGAUAACCCUAAGUUUGGAAAUAUGAAAUCGAAGUUUAUUGGAAUAAAAAAGGAGUGAUUUUUUUUUUUCUAUAAUGUGAAUACUUAUAGGGAUGAAAGACAUAACUGCAAUUUAUCAGGUGCUUCAGUAGUGAAGGAUCACAUUAAUCUUGCAAGAAUCACCCAUGCGAUUCACUCAACUCCAGUCUUCUUUCUGUGCCACAAGCAAUGUUUUCCUGUGAGAUCCCAACAGGUUUGAUAUCAGAAGGCCACUGACCUAGGAUGGCCAUAAAUGGGUUGUACUGGGAGGGCGAAGAGUGGAG